GAUGAACGCUAGCUACAGGCUUAACACAUGCAAGUCGAGGGGCAGCAUGACGGAACCUUCGGGUUUUGUUGAUGGCGACCGGCGCAAGGGUGCGUAACGCGUGAGCAACUUGCCCGUUUCAGGGGGAUAACCGGUGGAAACGCCGACUAAUACCCCAUGGCAUCAUAUUGAGGCAUCUUUACUCAAUUAAAGAAUUUCGGAAACGGAUAGGCUCGCGUGACAUUAGCUAGAUGGCGGGGUAACGGCCCACCAUGGCGACGAUGUCUAGGGGUUCUGAGAGGAAGGUCCCCCACACUGGAACUGAGACACGGUCCAGACUCCUACGGGAGGCAGCAGUGAGGAAUAUUGGUCAAUGGUCUGACGACUGAACCAGCCAUGCCGCGUGAAGGAAACGGCCCUAUGGGUCUUAAACUUCUUUUGUAAGGGAGCAAUAAGCGCCACGUGUGGCGUGAUGAGAGUACCUUACGAAUAAGCAUCGGCUAACUCCGUGCCAGCAGCCG
This 500-nucleotide ribosomal RNA is filed under the name uncultured bacterium. RNAcentral's name for it is "bacterial SSU rRNA". It matches the Rfam family "Bacterial small subunit ribosomal RNA", at positions 28 to 517 of the family's 1533-position model. The record is from RNAcentral.